AUCUGCUUUGUUCCUGUUUCUUUUCACAUGUGUUUUCCCUGUAUUCCUCCAACCUGCUUUUUGUUACCUGCCUGCCAUCUUGCCCGCCAGUUUGCCUGCGCUGUCAUCCUGUGCCUGAUGUCAUUUGGGACCAGAGUCUAAGCAGCAGUGAUCAGGUUUGGAGCCAAGGAACCAAAAUCUACAUUAUUCGGGGCAGUUACAUUCACUCUGGGGAAAAACGAGGGAGGGAGACCAUCGGGACCAACCUUGGUCUGGAUGCUCAGGUCCAGUGAUGUGGUCGGGGCGUUGGAGGAAGAGCUGUGCUAGAUCCACUGUUGCUGAAAUGAUCAUGGAAACAUCAAGAGUUUGAAGCUCGUCACAGGGAUCGAGCAGGACUUGCAAUUACAAUUGGCAGUUCCCUCAGAUGAAAAUCAUCUUCUCUGCGACCACCCAGCGAUGCCGGUAGAGGUCUGCCCAACCCAAAAAGAUGGAUAAAGCCUGGCAUUUUAUUAACACUGUGAUGGAUGCCAUUCUUUUGUCUAUUUUUGGAAGCAUUGUACAUAAUCCUCAGAUAAAGUAUAGAGGUCCUUGCCAUUUUUUGCAUGACAGAAUUCAUUUCACCCUUCUGGGAAAUUAUAUAUUUUAAAAAAUAUUGCCCUGUGUCUGAAAGACCAAAUCCAGCAGUUUCCAGUCCUUCUGUCUCAUAUUCACCAACCAAAGGUUCAGUCUUGCUGCAACAUGAUCAACUGUGCUAAAAAUAUAUGUAGUUAUUAUCAAUGGGCAAUGCAGUUUUAAUGUUUUGUAUAAUUUUUUCACAGAAUGUAGGCUUUGCAUAGUAAAGGUAAUGUUGUGAACCAUUAUUCAUUAACAUAAUUCAGAUUGCUUUUUAGCUGGGGAAUUUAAUGUAUAAGGCUUAAGAUUCUCCUGAUCCCCACAAUAUACAGAAACAUUCACAGAAGCUUUGAAAUUGUAUACUGUCAUACUAUAGUUUUACCUUGGGCAACUGGUCAGCCUGUUUGAACAAAUGUGACUGAUUGAGGACAUUGGUAUCAUGAGCACUACCAGGCACUUUACAGUUCACACUCCAAUAAGUUAAACACAAAGUAGGGUUUUGUUACAUAACUAUGAGAGAGGUUGUCUGUUACAAGGGGCCCUUUCAUCUGAAUCUUUCCCCUGCUCGGGGAAGACUUUUCAUUGCUCUGUUGUUAUUCCUGCUAAAAAAUGAAAAUAAAAUGAGGAUGUGAAUGAAAU
Molecule: long non-coding RNA, 1230 nt
Organism: Xiphias gladius (swordfish)
Lineage: Eukaryota; Metazoa; Chordata; Actinopteri; Istiophoriformes; Xiphiidae
Exons: 3
Source: RefSeq, a predicted model, not a curated record